RNAcentral lists this long non-coding RNA (262 nucleotides) under Capsicum annuum. Its description in RNAcentral is "long non-coding RNA (CANN_LNC016810)". Lineage: Eukaryota; Viridiplantae; Streptophyta; Magnoliopsida; Solanales; Solanaceae. The record is from RNAcentral.
CACACAAAUUUAACGUGGAAACCCAAGUUGGGAAAAACCACGGGCAACGACGAGCUCACUAUAUGGAAGGUAGAGUACAAUCAAAUCCUCAAGAAUUCAAAAUAUGAAGGAAUGAGGAUAAAGAAGAUUUUAAUCUUCAGUACAAGAAAGGCACUGCCUCAAGCAGUUACAGAGAAAAUAUAUAUCACCAACAUACAGAAAAUGCCCCUGAGAAAUAGGCUGCACUUCCAGGAAAAACUGGUGACCAGUAACUGCACAAUAG